RNAcentral lists this ribosomal RNA (304 nucleotides) under uncultured bacterium. RNAcentral describes it as "partial 16S ribosomal RNA". It matches the Rfam family "Bacterial small subunit ribosomal RNA", at positions 509 to 809 of the family's 1533-position model. The record is from RNAcentral.
CAGCAGUCGCCGCGGUAAUACGGAGGGUGCAAGCGUUAAUCGGAAUUACUGGGCGUAAAGCGUGCGUAGGCGGUUCGUUAAGUCUGUUGUGAAAGCCCCGGGCUCAACCUGGGAAUGGCAAUGGAUACUGGCGAGCUAGAGUGUGUCAGAGGAUGGUGGAAUUCCCGGUGUAGCGGUGAAAUGCGUAGAGAUCGGGAGGAACAUCAGUGGCGAAGGCGGCCAUCUGGGACAACACUGACGCUGAGGCACGCAAGCGUGGGGAGCAAACAGGAUUAGAUACCCGCGUAGUCCCUGUCUCUUAUAA